AGCAGCCGCGGUAAUUCCAGCUCCAAUAGCGUAUAUUAAAGUUGUUGCAGUUAAAAAGCUCGUAGUUGAAUUUCGAGACCGGUUUACUGGUCGUGCUUUUGUACGUACUGGUAUUAUUGGUUUCUCCUUUCUGACGAACUAUAAUGCCAUUAAUUUGGUGUUAUAGGGAGUCAGGACUGUUACUUUGAAAAAAUUAGAGUGUUUAAAGCAGGCUCACGCUUGAAUACAUUAGCAUGGAAUAACGGAAUAGGACGUUUGAUUCUAUUUUGUUGGUUUCUAGGAUCGACGUAAUGAUUAAUAGGGAUAGUUGGGGGCAUUAGUAUUCAAUUGUCAGAGGUGAAAUUCUUGGAUUUAUUGAAGACUAACUACUGCGAAAGCAUUUGCCAAGGAUGUUUUCAUUAAUCAAGAACGAAAGUUAGGGGAUCGAAGACGAUCAGAUACCGUCGUAGUCUUAACCAUAAACUAUGCCGACUAGGGAUCGGAUGAUGUUAAUUUUUUAAUGACUCAUUCGGCGCCUUAC
Molecule: unclassified non-coding RNA, 520 nt
Filed under: uncultured Glomus
Lineage: Eukaryota; Fungi; Glomeromycota; Glomeromycetes; Glomerales; Glomeraceae
Description: SSU rRNA
Rfam family: Eukaryotic small subunit ribosomal RNA
Source: RNAcentral